RNAcentral lists this ribosomal RNA (465 nucleotides) under uncultured bacterium. RNAcentral describes it as "partial 16S ribosomal RNA". It matches the Rfam family "Bacterial small subunit ribosomal RNA", at positions 338 to 795 of the family's 1533-position model. The record is from RNAcentral.
CCUACGGGUGGCAGCAGUAGGGAAUUUUCGUCAAUGGGCGCAAGCCUGAACGAGCGAUGCCGCGUGAGUGAAGAAGGCCUUCGGGUCGUAAAGCUCUGUUGCGGGGGAAAAAAGGCAGCAUCAGGAAAUGGGUGCUGACUGAUGGUGCCCCGCCAGAAAGUCACGGCUAAAUACGUGCCAGCAGCCGCGGGAAUUCGGCGGUGGCGAGCGUUACCCGGAAGGAUUGGGCGUAAAGGGAGCGCGGGCGGGCCUGCAAGUCAGGAGUGAAACGGUUGGGCUCAACCCAUGCAUGGCUUUGGAAACUGGGAGACUGGAGAACAGGAGAGGGCGGUGGAACUCCAGGUGUAGCGGUGAAAUGCGUAGAUAUAUGGAAGAACACCGGUGGCGAAGGCGGCCGCCUGGCCUGUUGCUGACGCUGAGGCACGAAAGCGUGGGGAGCAAAUAGGAUUAGAUACCCGUGUAGUC